Molecule: long non-coding RNA, 1331 nt
Filed under: Homo sapiens (human)
Lineage: Eukaryota; Metazoa; Chordata; Mammalia; Primates; Hominidae
Description: HSALNT0033867
Source: RNAcentral
UUUGUUUCAUAACCCAAGAUAUGGUCUAUCUUGGUGAAUGUCCCAUAAAUGCCCAAAAAAUGUGUAUUACGUAUUGGCUGAUAGUACUGUUCAGUUCUCCCACGCACUUGCUUUUUGUCUAGUGGGUUUAUCCAUUACUAAACAAGGGGUGUUGAAGUCCCCAACUGUAAACUGUAAACUUGUCCAUUUUUUCCUUUUAGUUCUAUCAAUUCUUAGAUCAUAUACUUUGCAGCUGUGUUAUUUGGUUAAUGCACACCUGUUGUCUUUUUGUGAUCUGACCUCUUCAUCAUUAUGUAAUGUAUUUCUUUGUCCCUGGCAAUUUUCUUUUGUCCUAAAGUCUACCUUGUCUGAUAGUAAGUCAUCCACUCCAGCUUUCUCUGAAUUACUGUUUGCAAGGUGUAUCUUUUCUAUCCUUUUACUCUUAGUUUAUUGAUAUUGAGAUUUACUGAUAAAUCAUUGUUAAUUUACUGAUAUUUUGAGUUUCUUGUAGUUAGCAUUUGGUUGGGUCAGGUUUUUAAAUUCACUCUCACAAUCUUGGUGUGUUUAGACCAUUUACAUUGAAUGUAAUUACUGAUAUGUGAGGUUAUAGGUCAGUCAUUUUAUUGUUUUGCUUUUUUCCUGUUUCCUCUUACCUGUCUUCAAGUGGGUUAUUUGGGCAUUCUUUAGUAGUCCAUUUUGAUUUAUCUACAUUUUUGAGUGUAUCUCUUCAUAUAGUUUUUCAGUGGUUACAGACUGCAAUACACACAUGAAGUUUACUGCAGUCUACUACUAUCAACAUCUACCACUUGAAGUGGAAUGUGGAUAUUUAACCACCAUUUAAGUCCCUUUUACUGCCCCCACUCUGUGAUGUAAUUGUCUAAAAUACUUCCUCUACAUACACUGAGAACCACAUCAAUGUUGUAAUUUUUACUUUAACUUUUAAAUGAAAAGUAUAAUUGGAUAUUAUACUUGUCUUCCAUAACAAGUUCAAUGUCUACAUAUCUACUCAUUUACUCAACAUCCACUCAUCCAUGAACUUGUUAGCCACUUUUCCAUCCACUAUGCAUUCAAUGCAUCCAUCUGUAAUCCUUGAAAUUCAUCUGAAACUUGUUUCUAACAUAUUUGAGUCUGACUAUCCUCUGAGAUCUAUUCUCUCUUUCCUUUCCUUUUUAAUUCAUUCAGAUGUUGUUUUGUAAGUGUUUACAUUUAUUUCAAGCAGUACUCUCCCCAAAUGAACCAUAAGCAUCUUGGCAGUGGAUUUCUAUUCAUUUUGUAUAUUCCCCUAGGACCUGUUGUGGUGUUCUAGCAUCUACAUGCCUACUAGAUGACGCACCAGGUUUUCCACAAAACUU